GGUAAGGCGGCGUGGAGGAAGGUCGAGGCGGAGGCUGAGUUACGACGUUGCUUUUGAGAUGGAGAGUGUCACCAGCAUGCAUUAAUGAAUAACUGAGCCUCUUCUACAUGUCAAGCCCUGGGCCAGGCCUGGAAAUCCAAAGAUACCCAGAACAGGAUCCCUGCCUCAAGCAAGUGCCUGACUCAAGCUUUGAUUGUUGAGACAUCCUCUUCAAAGAGGCAUCCACUUCAAAGAUGGUGAUCUCAAGUAAACAGCCAGCCUCAC
Long non-coding RNA from Cervus elaphus (red deer), 264 nucleotides. RefSeq lists it as uncharacterized. The transcript has 3 exons. Lineage: Eukaryota; Metazoa; Chordata; Mammalia; Artiodactyla; Cervidae. The record is from RefSeq and is a predicted model, not a curated record.